GACGAACGCUGGCGGCGUGCUUAACACAUGCAAGUCGAACGGAAAGGCCCUGCUUUUGUGGGGUGCUCGAGUGGCGAACGGGUGAGUAACACGUGAGUAACCUGCCCUUGACUUUGGGAUAACUUCAGGAAACUGGGGCUAAUACCGGAUAGGAGCUCCUGCUGCAUGGUGGGGGUUGGAAAGUUUCGGCGGUUGGGGAUGGACUCGCGGCUUAUCAGCUUGUUGGUGGGGUAGUGGCUUACCAAGGCUUUGACGGGUAGCCGGCCUGAGAGGGUGACCGGCCACAUGGGGACUGAGAUACGGCCCAGACUCCUACGGGAGGCAGCAGUGGGGAAUAUUGCACAAUGGGCGGAAGCCUGAGGCAGCAACGCCGCGUGCGGGAUGACGGCCUUCGGGUUGUAAACCGCUUUCGCCUGUGACGAAGCGUGAGUGACGGUAAUGGGUAAAGAAGCACCGCUAACUACGUG
This 467-nucleotide ribosomal RNA is filed under the name uncultured bacterium. RNAcentral's name for it is "partial 16S ribosomal RNA". It matches the Rfam family "Bacterial small subunit ribosomal RNA", at positions 28 to 507 of the family's 1533-position model. The record is from RNAcentral.